Molecule: long non-coding RNA, 235 nt
Organism: Oreochromis niloticus (Nile tilapia)
Lineage: Eukaryota; Metazoa; Chordata; Actinopteri; Cichliformes; Cichlidae
Exons: 3
Source: RefSeq, a predicted model, not a curated record
GUUUUGCUUCUCAGUGUGGAAGGAUGAAAGAUGUGUUUUGAAAAUGCCACGUGACUACCGUCCUCCUCCCUCCCGGAUCAGUCCGCAUGUUCAUGGCGCCAGCAUUUGUUAUGGAAUAUAUUGAGCAAACCUGGAGAUAUUAUUGUUGUCAUUGCUGUGGAUCUUUACUGACUUGGCUCGGGACCAGCACUCCUGCUGUUGGACAGAAAGACAUCAACUUGAGAUAUGACUGCAC